Molecule: long non-coding RNA, 493 nt
Organism: Cylas formicarius (sweet potato weevil)
Lineage: Eukaryota; Metazoa; Arthropoda; Insecta; Coleoptera; Brentidae
Exons: 3
Source: RefSeq, a predicted model, not a curated record
AAAAUGGUUUCGAUAAUUAAGAACAUCUUUUUAAAGCUAUGAAAAAUCAUAAUCGUAAGUCUCGCGCGUCGUAAGGGAUCAUAGUAAAGAAACAAAAUGACAGUCCUUUACCAACAGAACCAACAACAAUAAAGUAGUUAUAUAUUACACUGAUGUAACUUCCUCAGCACUCAAGUGACUACUGAAACACCCAAGUGAUAAAUAAAACGAUAAAGGCCUUGCAAACGCAUAUACGUGACAACUUAUGAAUGCACAGUAUCGCUUUAGUUGUUCGUUUAGUUCACGUGGGAAAACUUUAAAUAACGUAGGAAACAUGCUGAUCGGGCGCAGAUCUUUCAGUUCCUUUGGUGAAUUAAUUUUGGGUACUCCAAAACUCGGGAAACGUGGAAGUUUCAAUACAAACGUUUACUAAAUGUGUUAGUGCUGGUACAAUUCUUGUAAGACAACAAGCAGCAUCUCAAUACCACCAUUCUACCACCUUCGAUUCUAUAGA